AUUUGCCUGAGUUCAAACAGCUGAUAAAAGAGAGUCAAGUUUCAGAUCCAAAUAUAGGAAGUUUGGCUUCAGCAUCCAGGUUCUUUCCCAUCAUACCACACUCAAUUAUUCUACAAUAGAACACUGGAGAGAAAGAGAUGCAGGUGGGGAGGAAGGAGGCAGGAAUAAUGGGAAUAGGUGGAAGAGAAGGCGGAAGAUGUAUUUAUCCGGAUACAAUCAAAGAACCAUUUCAGAGGAAAAAGGAGAAUGUGAGGCUAUAAUGACAAAGCAGCCAUCUGCACACCAGGAAGGGGCACUCACCAGACAUCAGAGCUGCCGGCACCUUCACCUUGGACAUCCCAGCCUCCAGAACUGUAAAAAAUAAAUGUUUGUUGUUUAAGCCACCCAGUCUAUUUUAAUUUGUUAUAGCAGCCUAGUAUGGUUUGGCUGUGUCCCCACCUGAAUCUCACCUUGAAUUGUAAUAAUUCCCAUGUGUCAUGGGAGGGACACUGUGGGAGGUAAUUGAAUCAUGGGAUGGGUUUUCCCAUGGUGUUCUCAUGAUAGUGAAUAAGUCUCAUGAGAUCUGAUGGUUCCCCUGCACACAUUCUCUUGCCUGCCACCAUGUAAAAUGUGUCUUUGCUCCUUCUUCACCUUCCGCCACGAUUGUGAGACCUCCCCGCCAUGUGGAACUGUGAGUCCAUUAAACCUCUUUUUCUUUAUAA
This 701-nucleotide long non-coding RNA is filed under the name Homo sapiens (human). RNAcentral's name for it is "HSALNT0061857". The record is from RNAcentral. Lineage: Eukaryota; Metazoa; Chordata; Mammalia; Primates; Hominidae.